CACGAAGGAACACCGUAUUGUAACAAACCAUGUUAUGCAGUAAUGUUUGGACCAGGAGGUUUCGGUCACGGUGGGACUGAGAGCCACAAAUAUUAAUGACAUUUUAUCAACGGUGAAAUCACUUGAGCUUUUAUAGAUUGACUUCUUGACGAAAAUGUUAAUUUCGUUCAGUAUGAAAUAGUAGGCCUAAUCAAAAAUAAGUAUUUUGUGCAUGUAAAGGUAGCUUCAGUCAAGAGGUAUUAUACAGAGUACGGUAUGGGUAUACCAAGUUCCUAUUCUAAUCAGUGCCGGAUCCAGAACCAAAUGGUAGGGGGGAAACUCAUGCGAGCUUGCUCGCAACCCGAGGGCGCACAGCGCCCGAGGGGGGAGGGUGUGGGAGUGGGUGUUCCCCCUCUCACGGUGUGGAAAAUUUUUUAAAAUGACAUUGUAAAGAUGCCAAAUUUAAGCAUACAAUUACUACAUAAACUAGAAUUUUAGAGCCUUUAUUUACAUGUUAACAUCAGUGAUUUUACAUAGUUACACGGAUGAAAGAUGUUUCCCCAUUUAAUUAAUGGACAGGCCGCAUUGAACUGUCAAUUUUAUUAGAAAGAAGAGGGAAAUAAGCUUGGCCUACAAGGCUGAUUUUUACAUUUUGCUUGCGCAGGAAAUUCUAGGGGGGGGGGACAAUUUCCCCUUUUCCCCCCUCCCCCUGGAUCCGGCACUGCUAAUUAAAUAUCCAAGAAUAGGCCUAUAUACCAUUCAUUUCACUUUGCUGAUGAUUUUGUGAGGAAACUUCACUAUACAAGGCCUAUAAUAAUUAUGAUAGUUUGGUUAUGGUUUUUUAAGCUAUUACGGUUUAUAGAACAAUGUUUUAUGAAUUAAAUAUUGCUAUAUUGGA
Molecule: long non-coding RNA, 877 nt
Organism: Anneissia japonica
Lineage: Eukaryota; Metazoa; Echinodermata; Crinoidea; Comatulida; Comatulidae
Exons: 2
Source: RefSeq, a predicted model, not a curated record